CGUAGGGAUACGAGCUAAAGUUUUCCUUAAAAAAGCGAUCCAAGAACAGCUUCGAGAGUCUUGGCAAACUUCCCAAUAAGAUGCCACGAAGGAAGCGAGAUGCACCUCGCCGGAACGCGAUCCCGUCUUCAUGUAUCCAAGCCAACGCACCACAACAUCGUCGAAAUGGUUCCCACAUUCAAAACGGAGUCUCGCUUCAAUCUAGAUCGCGUACCCUGUCUUCGAAUCUCGUAUGAACACUAGAGCAAGAACGAAGCCCUGAAUUCGUCGCCGGAAUCGAAACCAACAAAGGUUUCUUCUUGUGCGUUAAUGAAAGUAGACAAAGGGAAAAAUUCAUCGGAUGAUUCCGACGUGGUGGCUUCGGGUGAUCUUCUCCUUCGAUUCAACGUUGUUGUCGUCUUCGGUUCGAGUUGUGGUUGAAUCACGCUUGUGUUGCCGUUAUUGUUCUGGGAUGGAGGAUGUUGGCGCUUCUUCUUUGUCGCGUGCGAUGGCGUAUUGAGCUUGAUGCGAAGCCUUAUUCGUGUGCGUCCGCUUGACCCUUUUUUUGCAGAAGAACAGUGGAGCCUCGUAUGCGCGUCUCUUCCGGUUCGGUUGGAGAUUCAAAGUGGCUUCGUUAUGGUUUCUUGAGGUAGCGGUGGAUAGUUGGUCCUGUUGUGGCUUCCUGGAGGAGGUUGUGUAGGUGGUUAGAAGAAAAUCGUCAUAGUAGUUUAGAGCUGAUUCAGGUUGGGAAGAGGAUUUUGAUCCUCAUGAGGGUGAAGAAUCACUUAACAGGUUCAGAGUUGGUUUCUAUGAUUGAAUCACCAACCCUCUGCAAUGAUUGGGUUUUGGAAGGAAGUUUAAGAAGUGUUGUUCAGUUGGUUAUUAAUUGGAUGGCGGUUAGGUUGAAGCGUGAGGAAUAUCCGCUGAUUAAAUAGUGCCAUGCUAGAAUGAAUUGCUUUGGAAGGUUCACCUGCAUUGCUUUGUUGCUGGUUGUUACUUGCAGAGUGUCGUAAUGUCCUGCCAGAAUUUAAUAUUGCUUGCUAUCUUGGACGAAAUCUUGCUUGAGGUUACGGUGAUUUUGGCGGGGCGUAUGGGCUGUGGAGCAUAGCAUGAAAAGGCUUGAAUGUGAAGAACUCAAAACAUGCUAACACACUAAGGUCCAAGAUGCUUGAAGACCUUGGAGGCAAAGGUGGGAUGAAGAGAAUGGAGUUUAGAACAUAGGAAUUGACCUUGUAACUUCUUUCUUGUAAUUGGUUUGAAAUUUGAAUAUUGUAAUGAGAUUGGAUUGUAAAAACGAAUUGAAAUCAAUGGUUGGUUUGAACUACGUAGUUUUUUUUGGUUGGAUGGAAUUAUGUUGGAAAUGUAAACAUGGAGAGUCAAUGAAUUUGUAUUGAAUGUGAUGUUGAAAUGGUUAAAUGUAAUGAGUGAUAGGAUUCGCAAUUGUUAUAGAAGGUUUGUUUAUGGAUUGUAUAUGCAUUGAAUAAAAGGUUUAAUGAAACAUUGGAA
Molecule: long non-coding RNA, 1485 nt
Organism: Lathyrus oleraceus (garden pea)
Lineage: Eukaryota; Viridiplantae; Streptophyta; Magnoliopsida; Fabales; Fabaceae
Exons: 5
Source: RefSeq, a predicted model, not a curated record